Molecule: ribosomal RNA, 468 nt
Filed under: uncultured bacterium
Lineage: Bacteria
Description: partial 16S ribosomal RNA
Rfam family: Bacterial small subunit ribosomal RNA
Source: RNAcentral
GACGAACGCUGGCGGCGUGCUUAACACAUGCAAGUCGAACGGAAAGGCCCUGCUUUUGUGGGGUGCUCGAGUGGCGAACGGGUGAGUAACACGUGAGUAACCUGCCCUUGACUUUGGGAUAACUUCAGGAAACUGGGGCUAAUACCGGAUAGGAGCUCCUGCUGCAUGGUGGGGGUUGGAAAGUUUCGGCGGUUGGGGAUGGACUCGCGGCUUAUCAGCUUGUUGGUGGGGUAGUGGCUUACCAAGGCUUUGACGGGUAGCCGGCCUGCGAGGGUGACCGGCCACCUUGGUACUGCGAUACGGCCCAGACUCCUACGGGAGGCAGCAGUGGGGAAUAUUGCACAAUGGGCGGAAGCCUGAUGCAGCAGCGCCGCGUGCGGGAUGACGGCCUUCGGGUUGUAAACCGCUUUCGCCUGUGACGAAGCGUGAGUGACGGUAAUGGGUAAAGAAGCACCGGCUAACUACGUG